Molecule: long non-coding RNA, 790 nt
Organism: Silurus meridionalis
Lineage: Eukaryota; Metazoa; Chordata; Actinopteri; Siluriformes; Siluridae
Exons: 2
Source: RefSeq, a predicted model, not a curated record
CGCUGAUUUUCUCGCACCCGUUCGUAGGGGCCGCCAUCUUUGAUCUUCUAUUGCCGGUGCAAGAGGACUACCGCACGGAUUGGCGAAUGUGCCGUGCCAGGUGGAUUUUGAUUAGCUGGGAGGGCUGUCAAUCAAACGAUCACACGUCUGAAGAAUUCCAGCCUGCGCUCUGCCUCGGUGCAGUUGUUCGAUUUCCUCGUUGACCGCGACCCCUGUAACUGUGGAAAGCGACGUUGGUUUGGACGACCUCUUUAGGGCUGUAAUGAUGAGGGUAAACCUUUUGAGGCCCGGGCUGUCACGCUGGAUUAAACUGGAGACACAGAAAGUGAUUAACACGCUGGCUUGAAUGACACUCUGUCACCGAGACCCAACUUUAAAUCCUCGCAUUGGUUCUUUUCACACAUCGUAUAAAGCCGGACACAUUACCAUGUGGUAUUCUCGUGUGGUAUCGUCUGGUGGCACUACACAUCAGACUCGGGUAGGAGGUGUAGCUCGAGGACAUCAGGACUUGCGUCGACAGUGAAUCGCUCUUUACAGGAAGGAAAUAUCACAGGAACAGGAAGUGAGCAUGUCCUCAAUACAUUCGAUGUUUUGUGGGUGUGUGAGGAUGGUUGUCCUUGAUGUCCAUUGUAUCAGUGAACUCGAUCUUUAAUUUAAAGACUGUUUAACAAUACAAACACACACACACACACACACACACACACACACACACACACACCACCACCUAUAAGAAUCAAGAAUUCAUUGAAGAAUCACGUGAAAAUAAAGAAAUGAUGUGUAAAAAAACUAA